CACCAUGCAUACCACUACCAGCCCCAUCAGCUGUAACUAACAUGCCCACAAUCCCACUUCCUAGGUAUAUCUAUCAUGGAGAAACUUGUAUCUCGAAGCAACCCAAUGUCCAUCAAGAACAGAAUAAAUUGGCCGGGUCGUGCCCACGCUGAGCCGGGAGCCGAAAUGCUUCCUGGUGACGGGAGUGAGCGAUGAGCAGGCUUCUGUUUCUGGCCCACAGAGUCGCCUUGGCCACCGUGUGCUGUCACCCUGCCUAUCACGGGUUCGGGAUGUUCUAUGCCGUGAGAAGGGGCCACAAGACUGGGGUCUUUCUGACCUGGAUUGAGUGCAAGGCUCAGGUGGACCGGUUUCCUGCUGCCAGAUUUAAGAAGUUUGCCACAGAGGAUGAGGCCUGGGCCUUUGUCAGGAAAUCUGCAAGCCCAGAAGCUUCAGAAGGGCAGAAAAAGCAACAUGGACAAGAAUCACAGACGAAAGCCAGCAAGCGACUCCAUGAGCCACUGGAUGCAGAUGGAAAUUAAGGCACAGAGCCGUAUGCAAAGCACUUGAAGCCCAGUGUGGAGCUGGUGCCUCCAGUUAGCAGAGACAUGUUUUCCUACAUGGGAGACUCGGUUGUCGUCUACACAGAUGGCUGCUGCUCCAGUAAUGGGCAGAGGAGGCCACGAGCAGGAAUCAGCGUUUACUGGGGGCCGGGCCAUCCUUUAAAUGUAGGCAUUAGACUUCCUGGGUGACAGACAAACCAAAGAGCAGAAAUUCAUGCAGCCUGCAAAGCCAUUGAACAAGCAAAGGCUCAAAACAUCAAUAAAUUGGUUCUGUAUAGAGACAGUAUGUUUACUAUAAAUGAUAUAACUAUAGUAUAUAGUUCAAGGUUGGAAGAAAAAUGGGUGGAAGACAAGUACAGGGAAAGAGGUGAUCAACAAAGAGGACUUUGUGGCACUGGAGAGGCUCACCCAGGGCAUGGACAUCCAGUGGAUGCACGUUCCUGGUCAUUCGGGGUUUACGGGCAAUGAAGAAGCUAAUAGAUCAGCCAGAGAAGGAGCUAAACAAUCGAAAGACUGACCCAUGUGACGUGAGUCCUUGGGAAAACUUGAGCCAGCGGCUUACUUACUAGUGUGGAAGAGAGCCUGCAGGUGGGACCAUUGCAGUGGAUGGGCAAAUGCAGCUUUCACACGGAAUCAGGGAGGCGCAGUGGCAUUCUGUGACCCAAUUUUAUAAAAAAUCGCUAAGUAUAUAAUAAAUUGAACAUCUUUGAGAUUGGAGAGUUAUGUGAGAUUUCAGCAUUAUGCUUACUGGGUUCCAUACGUUCUUGCUUGUUUUAUUGCAGGCAAGCAAAGCAAAUGGCCUAAAAUGCUGCAGCUUAUAUUUAUUUUGAUAAGAAAUCUAAAAAAAAUUGGUUAAAAGAUGCAACUCAGAAGUCUGGGAGUAUUCUGAAAGCAUCCAUUUACUGUCUGGUUUAUAGGAGUGAGUCUCCUGCUUGUAUAGUGACUUGUGCCUGUGGGUACAUUAGAGAAACGUGCAGCCUGGGGCCUGGGCGGGCAGCUCAGUGGGCAGGAUGUGUGCUGGGUCUCAGCCCCGCAUGCCUGCUUGCAGGGCACUUGGUAUAGGGCAAAGCCUGCCUGCAGGCAACCCUGGCUGCUAGGCCAUUCUCUAGGAACAGUUACAACCUGUAAAGACCAAGAUGUGUAAAUAAGUCUCUCAAAAAUUUAUUUGGUUCUUCUGUUAAAAACUGUGCAAAUUAAAAA
Callithrix jacchus (white-tufted-ear marmoset) is the source of this 1739-nucleotide non-coding RNA. The record is from RefSeq and is a predicted model, not a curated record. Lineage: Eukaryota; Metazoa; Chordata; Mammalia; Primates; Cebidae.